GGUUAAGCGACUAAGCGUACACGGUGGAUGCCCUGGCAGUCAGAGGCGAUGAAGGACGUGCUAAUCUGCGAAAAGCGUCGGUAAGGUGAUAUGAACCGUUAUAACCGGCGAUGUCCGAAUGGGGAAACCCAGUGCAAUUCGUUGCACUAUCGUUAACUGAAUACAUAGGUUAACGAGGCGAACCGGGGGAACUGAAACAUCUAAGUACCCCGAGGAAAAGAAAUCAACCGAGAUUCCCCCAGUAGCGGCGAGCGAACGGGGAGCAGCCCAGAGUCUGAAUCAGCUUGUGUGUUAGUGGAACGGUCUGGAAAGUCCGACGGUACAGGGUGAUAGUCCCGUACACCAAAAUGCACAGGUUGUGAACUCGAAGAGUAGGGCGGGACACGUGGUAUCCUGUCUGAAUAUGGGGGGACCAUCCUCCAAGGCUAAAUACUCCUGACUGACCGAUAGUGAACCAGUACCGUGAGGGAAAGGCGAAAAGAACCCCGGCGAGGGGAGUGAAAAAGAACCUGAAACCGUGUACGUACAAGCAGUGGGAGCACCUUUAUGGUGUGACUGCGUACCUUUUGUAUAAUGGGUCAGCGACUUAUAUUCUGUAGCAAGGUUAACCGUAUAGGGGAGCCGCAGGGAAACCGAGUCUUAACUGGGCGUUAAGUUGCAGGGUAUAGACCCGAAACCCGGUGAUCUAGCCAUGGGCAGGUUGAAGGUUGGGUAACACUAACUGGAGGACCGAACCGACUAAUGUUGAAAAAUUAGCGGAUGACUUGUGGCUGGGGGUGAAAGGCCAAUCAAACCGGGAGAUAGCUGGUUCUCCCCGAAAGCUAUUUAGGUAGCGCCUCGUGAACUCAUCUUCGGGGGUAGAGCACUGUUUCGGCUAGGGGGUCAUCCCGACUUACCAACCCGAUGCAAACUACGAAUACCGAAGAAUGUUAUCACGGGAGACACACGGCGGGUGCUAACGUCCGUCGUGAAGAGGGAAACAACCCAGACCGCCAGCUAAGGUCCCAAAGUCAUGGUUAAGUGGGAAACGAUGUGGGAAGGCACAGACAGCCAGGAUGUUGGCUUAGAAGCAGCCAUCAUUUAAAGAAAGCGUAAUAGCUCACUGGUCGAGUCGGCCUGCGCGGAAGAUGUAACGGGGCUAAACCAUGCACCGAAGCUGCGGCAGCGACACUAUGUGUUGUUGGGUAGGGGAGCGUUCUGUAAGCCUGCGAAGGUG
Molecule: ribosomal RNA, 1216 nt
Filed under: Klebsiella quasipneumoniae
Lineage: Bacteria; Pseudomonadati; Pseudomonadota; Gammaproteobacteria; Enterobacterales; Enterobacteriaceae
Description: partial 23S ribosomal RNA
Rfam family: Bacterial large subunit ribosomal RNA
Source: RNAcentral